Non-coding RNA from Paragonimus heterotremus, 81 nucleotides. The record is from the annotation of a GenBank genome assembly. Lineage: Eukaryota; Metazoa; Platyhelminthes; Trematoda; Plagiorchiida; Troglotrematidae.
AACUUUGUAGCUCAGCUGGUAGAGCAUUUGUCAUGUCCAGACAUGUUGUUUCUGUCGCUGGUUCGAAUCCAGCCGAAGUCC